UUGUCAAACUUUAUGCUUUUCUACAUGAACAAGGGUUGAAAAAUGCUCCAAUUGGAGAACUGUCCUACUGAACCUAUAGUGCAAAAUUACAUAACUUUUCGAGAUUUUUAUCUAUAGAUGGAGGGAUGGAUGUUGAUGUUGACCAUAAAAUGUUUAGAUGAGGUUAUGAAGAGGAAUAUUUAUUUUUAUAUCACAGCAUAACAGCAAUACACAACAAGCUUUAUUAAACGUCGGUUUUUUAAUUUUUUACAUAUCAAAAUGAAGAUGUGUAUAAAUAGGAAAUAGAUAUACGAAAGUUGGAAUAUUAUUUGGCUGUGAACUGAUUUCAUUCUUCAAGUAUUGAACAUUUUAACUUGCACAUCUCACAUUCAUGUACUGCGAAAAAUUAGUGCCUUUAAAAUAUUCAAUGCUUUUAGAUAAAUAAACGAUUAAAUAUUA
Molecule: long non-coding RNA, 438 nt
Organism: Aethina tumida (small hive beetle)
Lineage: Eukaryota; Metazoa; Arthropoda; Insecta; Coleoptera; Nitidulidae
Exons: 2
Source: RefSeq, a predicted model, not a curated record